CCCUUAGAUGGUCUGGGCGGCACGCGCGCUACAAUGAUGCAUUCAAAAAGUCUUCUGACCUUAGAAGGUUGGGUAUUCUCCAAAGUGCAUCGUGAUGGGAAUAGUUUAUUGCAAUUUUUAAUCUUGAACGAGGAAUUCCUAGUAAGUACAGGUCAUCAACUUGUGUUGAUUACGUCCCUGCCCUUUGUACACACCGCCCGUCGCUCCUACUGAUUGAGUGUCUCGGUGAAUUCUUUGAUCUUCUGUCGAUUCAGUUCACUGAUCCGACGGUGGAAAGUUGAAUGAACUUCGUCACUUAGAGGAAGGAGAAGGCGGAACA
This 319-nucleotide ribosomal RNA is filed under the name uncultured eukaryote. Its description in RNAcentral is "partial 18S ribosomal RNA". It matches the Rfam family "Eukaryotic small subunit ribosomal RNA", at positions 1470 to 1796 of the family's 1831-position model. The record is from RNAcentral.